CACGUAGGCACCAAGCGUUGUCCGGAUUUAUUGGGCGUAAAGAGCUCGUAGGCGGUUCAGUAAGUCGGGUGUGAAAACUCUGGGCUCAACCCAGAGACGCCACCCGAUACUGCUGUGACUUGAGUACGGUAGGGGAGUGGGGAAUUCCUGGUGUAGCGGUGAAAUGCGCAGAUAUCAGGAGGAACACCAGUGGCGAAGGCGCCACUCUGGGCCGCAACUGACGCUGAGGAGCGAAAGCGUGGGUAGCAAACAGG
Molecule: ribosomal RNA, 254 nt
Filed under: uncultured bacterium
Lineage: Bacteria
Description: partial 16S ribosomal RNA
Rfam family: Bacterial small subunit ribosomal RNA
Source: RNAcentral